AAAUUUCUCCAUGAUGAAUUGAAAGGCGGAAGAGUUCUUGAAGACUAUAUUCAUCACCCAAGACUGACAUGGAAAU
This is a non-coding RNA of Musca domestica (house fly), 76 nucleotides long. NCBI's taxonomy places the organism in Eukaryota, Metazoa, Arthropoda, Insecta, Diptera, Muscidae. The record is from Rfam.